This 497-nucleotide ribosomal RNA is filed under the name uncultured bacterium. RNAcentral describes it as "partial 16S ribosomal RNA". It matches the Rfam family "Bacterial small subunit ribosomal RNA", at positions 28 to 507 of the family's 1533-position model. The record is from RNAcentral.
GAUGAACGCUGGCGGCGUGCCUAAUACAUGCAAGUCGAGCGAACAGAUCAGGCGCUUGCUCCUUUGACGUUAGCGGCGGACGGGUGAGUAACACGUGGGUAACCUACCUAUAAGACUGGGAUAACUUCGGGAAACCGGAGCUAACACCGGAUAAUAUUUCGAACCGCAUGGUUCGAUAGUGAAAGAUGGCUUUGCUAUCACUUAUAGAUGGACCCGCGCCGUAUUAGCUAGUUGGUAAGGUAACGGCCUACCAAGGCGACGAUUCGUAGCCGACGUGAGAGGGUGAUCGGCCACACUGGAACUGAGACACCGUCCAGACUCCUACGGGAGGCACCAGUAGGGAAUCGUCCGCAAUGGGCGAAAGCCUUACGGAGCAGCGCCGCGUGAGUGAUGAAGGUCUUCGGAUCGUAAAACUCUGUUAUUAGGGAAGAACAGACGUGUAAGUAACUGUGCACGUCUUGACGGUAACUAAUCAGAAAGCCACGGCUAACUACGUG